CCGGCUAAUUUUUUUUGUAUUUUUUUAGUAGAGAUGGGGUUUCACCAUGUUGGCCAGGCUGGUCUUGAACUCCUGACCUCAAGUGAUCCACCCGCCUCAGCCUCCCAAAGUGCUGAGAUUACAGGUGUGAGCCAUUGCACCCUGCCCUCUUCCUUGCUUUUUAAUACUUGCAUUUAAAGCUAUAACUUUCCCUCUAAGUACUGCUUUAGGUUCAUCCUAUAUUUUUUAUAUGCUAUGCAUUCAUCAUUAUUUGAUUCUAAUUUCUAAUUUUCAAUAUGAUUUCUUCCAAUUCAUAAGCUAUUUAAAGUGUUGAAUUUUCAAAUACAUUUGCAGGGUUGACUGUCUUUCUGUAAUUGAUUUUUAGUGCUGUUUCACUGUGGUCAGAGACUGUGCUCUGCGUGGGAUUGGCUAUUUUGGUGUUUCUUGAGGCCACUUUUGUUGCUUAGCAACUGAUCAGAAUGUGCUGAUUGUUGGGUGUUCUGUGACUGUUUAUUAGGUCAAGUAUGUAAACUGGGUUGCUUAAAUUUUCUGUGUCCUUGCUAAUCUUUAUUUUCCCUGCUUAAUCUAUCAAUUACUGAACGAAGGUAUGUGAACUUUUCCAUUAUUAUAUGGAUUUUAAAAUUUCUCUUUAUAAAUCUAUCAGUUUUUGAUUUUUCUGUUUUAAGACUAUAUUGUUAGAAACAUACAGAUUCUGGAUUUUAAAAAUAUCUUUAUGGUGAAUUUUCAUUGUCAUAUAUGAUAGAAAUUGUUCCCAUGAUCACAUGAUAACCUCUUUCACCCUA
This 782-nucleotide long non-coding RNA is filed under the name Homo sapiens (human). Its description in RNAcentral is "HSALNT0357847". Lineage: Eukaryota; Metazoa; Chordata; Mammalia; Primates; Hominidae. The record is from RNAcentral.